ACAGAUGUUGACACUGAUGAAAAAAACCAGGUUCAUGGAGUUCAGCGUGGAGCACUUGUGGUCGUAAAUUCAAUGGAUCAAUCCAAGGCUAAAACUGGUGACCAAAAGGUGCUGCGUAGGUUGGCUCAGAAUCGGGAAGCUGCAAAAAAGAGUCGACUGAGGAAGAAGGUAAUGU
This is a long non-coding RNA of Pistacia vera, 175 nucleotides long. RefSeq lists it as uncharacterized. The record is from RefSeq and is a predicted model, not a curated record. The transcript has 3 exons. NCBI's taxonomy places the organism in Eukaryota, Viridiplantae, Streptophyta, Magnoliopsida, Sapindales, Anacardiaceae.